UACGUAGGGUGCGAGCGUUAAUCGGAUUUACUGGACGUAAAGCGUGCGCAGGCGGCCCGUUAAGACAGGUGUGAAAUCCCUGGGCUCAACCUAGGAAUUGCGCUUGUGACUGGCGGGCUCGAGUACGGUAGAGGGGGGUGGAAUUCCUGGUGUAGCAGUGAAAUGCGUAGAGAUCAGGAGGAACACCGAUGGCGAAGGCAGCCCCCUGGGCCUGUACUGACGCUCAUGCACGAAAGCGUGGGGAGCAAACAGG
RNAcentral lists this ribosomal RNA (253 nucleotides) under uncultured microorganism. Its description in RNAcentral is "partial 16S ribosomal RNA". It matches the Rfam family "Bacterial small subunit ribosomal RNA", at positions 524 to 776 of the family's 1533-position model. The record is from RNAcentral.